UGAGGAAUAUUGGUCAAUGGGGCGAGAGCCUGAACCAGCCAAGUAGCGUGCAGGACGACGGCCCUAUGGGUUGUAAACUGCUUUUAUACGGGAAUAAAGUGAUGCCUGCGGGCGUUAUUGCAUGUACCGUACGAAUAAGGACCGGCUAAUUCCGUGCCAGCAGCCGCGGUAAUACGGAAGGUCCGGGCGUUAUCCGGAUUUAUUGGGUUUAAAGGGAGCGUAGGCCGGAGAUUAAGCGUGUUGUGAAAUGCCGCGGCUCAACCGUGGCACUGCAGCGCGAACUGGUUUUCUUGAGUGCGCGCGACGCAGGCGGAAUUCGUGGUGUAGCGGUGAAAUGCUUAGAUAUCACGAGGAACCCCGAUUGCGAAGGCAGCUUGCGGGAGCGCAACUGACGCUGAAGCUCGAAGGUGCGGGUAUCGAACAGGAUUAGAUACCCUGGUAGU
This 443-nucleotide ribosomal RNA is filed under the name uncultured Prevotella sp. RNAcentral's name for it is "bacterial SSU rRNA". It matches the Rfam family "Bacterial small subunit ribosomal RNA", at positions 355 to 794 of the family's 1533-position model. Lineage: Bacteria; Pseudomonadati; Bacteroidota; Bacteroidia; Bacteroidales; Prevotellaceae. The record is from RNAcentral.